AUACCUUUGUGGUUCAUAGUAUGAUGUUUGGGUUUUCACAUUGUUCUGUGAGAUGUUCCUCCUUCCUACCUUGUUAACUCAAUUGACC
This 88-nucleotide small nucleolar RNA is filed under the name Dipodomys ordii (Ord's kangaroo rat). Its description in RNAcentral is "Small nucleolar RNA U13". It matches the Rfam family "Small nucleolar RNA U13". The record is from Rfam by way of RNAcentral. Lineage: Eukaryota; Metazoa; Chordata; Mammalia; Rodentia; Heteromyidae.